CAGGCAUGAUGACAUUAAAAUGAGACCAAUCACAGCAGAUAAGCCUCAUUCAAAGGAGGGGUUUGGAAAAAUGAAUCAUUGAGCGAGUCGUUGAGCAAGUAAGCUUUCUUUGUUGCAGAAGAGGAUGCACAAAGCCAUGCUAAAAUACUUCAAACACCGCAGCGUCUACAGCAAGGCAGAGCUGGCCCGCUUCCAGACCCUCUCCAACCAGAACAACCAGAAAAUGAAAGCCCUCCAGGAGGAGUUGUCAAACGCAAUCCAGCGCCUCUCUCAGUUCCUGCUCUCGCUGACAGAUGACUCAACUACCAGCCAUGUCCCGCAGCAAGCAAACAGACCCAUCGCAGAUGCCGAUGGAUGGAGCAGGAAGAUGCAUACAGUUCAGAUAGCGGCGUAAUUGGACGCUCACCUGCACCAGACAACUUACUUAAACCCCCAGCAUGCUUCACUCUCUCCCCUGUCCGACGCUCACGGCCCAAUCCAUAACAAUGAAGCAGGUGACUUUCAUGCUACUGUCAGGAAUGAUCUAAUUUUAGCGGGGUGAAUGAUUGCAAUUGGCUUUGCCUCAUCAGAUAAUUAAUCUAUGUCACCAUUAAUUGGAAAAGAGAAUAAUUAGGGGGCUGUGUUGACAGAAAUUCUACGCUUCUCUAGAUUCUUGGAUCUAAUUACACCUACUUAAACCCCUCUGACCUUAACUAGCAGAUAGUAUACCUGUGUAACCCUAACCAGGCUGGGGUUGGUCUCGACCGCCUCUCGCUCUGCGUCCUUUGUCAUUUUUUUCCUCCUUUCUGGCUUGUUUAUCCUCUCUUUUCCUGUCUCCUCAGAGAGCUGUCUCCC
Cyprinus carpio carpio is the source of this 834-nucleotide long non-coding RNA. The record is from Ensembl. Lineage: Eukaryota; Metazoa; Chordata; Actinopteri; Cypriniformes; Cyprinidae.